RNAcentral lists this ribosomal RNA (490 nucleotides) under uncultured bacterium. RNAcentral describes it as "bacterial SSU rRNA". It matches the Rfam family "Bacterial small subunit ribosomal RNA", at positions 341 to 847 of the family's 1533-position model. The record is from RNAcentral.
ACGGGAGGCAGCAGUGGGGAAUAUUGCACAAUGGGGGAAACCCUGAUGCAGCGACGCCGCGUGAAGGAAGAAGUAUCUCGGUAUGUAAACUUCUAUCAGCAGGGAAGAUAAUGACGGUACCUGACUAAGAAGCCCCGGCUAACUACGUGCCAGCAGCCGCGGUAAUACGUAGGGGGCAAGCGUUAUCCGGAUUUACUGGGUGUAAAGGGAGCGUAGGCGGCGGAGCAAGUCAGAAGUGAAAGCCCGGGGCUCAACCCCGGGACGGCUUUUGAAACUGCCCUGCUUGAUUUCAGGAGAGGUAAGCGGAAUUCCUAGUGUAGCGGUGAAAUGCGUAGAUAUUAGGAGGAACACCAGUGGCGAAGGCGGCUUACUGGACUGACAAUGACGCUGAGGCUCGAAAGCGUGGGGAGCAAACAGGAUUAGAUACCCUGGUAGUCCACGCCGUAACCGAUGAAUACUAGGUGUCGGGGGCCAUAAGGCUUUCGGUGCC